AUUUCCUCAUGGUUGUGAUUCCUCUUCACUCUUUUGAAUUUGGAAGGAUGGCAUACACAUCUGAAAAAUACCACUACUUCCUUCAUUGGACGGCAAGGUAUUUCUGUUUGGAAAAGUAAUGGAGUCCAGUCAACUUCAUUGAUCUCCAAGGACUGUCAAAAUUAUAAAACUUGCUGUGGAGCUCUGACAUGCCAGAAGCCGCUAGAAAAAGAAGUUUGACAUUCAGAAACUUAUCAAGAGGUUCUACUCUUUGGAUAGAGACCAAAAUCAUACUUUGAAGGGAUUGCAGUGGCAAAGCUAGGCUAGGUCUUGGAGGCUGGUGUAAGGCGAUGCGGGUGAAGGCAGGAGGCUGAUGGAGAGACUGGGGGGAAGAAAAGCCGAAAUGGAUUCACGGUGCCUUGGAUGAAGGACGAGAGGGGAACUGCAAGCUCCUUCAACUGGUUCUGUCCGGUGAGAAGUGAUCAAG
This 466-nucleotide small RNA is filed under the name Pan troglodytes (chimpanzee). RNAcentral describes it as "sense overlapping". The stretch from base 290 to 466 matches the Rfam family "SOX2 overlapping transcript exon 3", at positions 1 to 177 of the family's 276-position model. Lineage: Eukaryota; Metazoa; Chordata; Mammalia; Primates; Hominidae. The record is from RNAcentral.